CCAAUAGCGUAUAUUAAAGUUGUUGCAGUUAAAAAGCUCGUAGUUGAAUUUCGGGACCAAUAUGUCGGUCGUACUUUGUACGUACUAGCAUCAUUGGUUUCUCCCUUCUGAAGAACCACGAUGUCAUUAAUUUGGUGUCAUGGGGAAUCAGGACUGUUACUUUGAAAAAAUUAGAGUGUUUAAAGCAGGCUCGCGCUUGAAUACAUUAGCAUGGAAUAAU
This 220-nucleotide ribosomal RNA is filed under the name uncultured Glomus. RNAcentral's name for it is "partial small subunit ribosomal RNA". It matches the Rfam family "Eukaryotic small subunit ribosomal RNA", at positions 591 to 818 of the family's 1831-position model. The record is from RNAcentral. Lineage: Eukaryota; Fungi; Glomeromycota; Glomeromycetes; Glomerales; Glomeraceae.